RNAcentral lists this ribosomal RNA (440 nucleotides) under uncultured bacterium. RNAcentral describes it as "partial 16S ribosomal RNA". It matches the Rfam family "Bacterial small subunit ribosomal RNA", at positions 338 to 795 of the family's 1533-position model. The record is from RNAcentral.
CCUACGGGAGGCUGCAGUGGGGAAUAUUGCUCAAUGGGGGAAACCCUGAUGCAGCGACGCCGCGUGAGCGAUGAAGUUUUUAGGUAUGUAAACUCCUAUUAGUAGGGAAGAAUAUGACGGUAUCUGACUAAGAAGCCCCGGCUAACUACGUGCCAGCAGCCGCGGUAAUACGUAGGGGGCAAGCGUUAUCCGGAUUUACUGGGUGUAAAGGGUGCGUAGACGGGGUUGCAAGCCAGAUGUGAAAGCCUGGGGCUCAACUCCAGGACUGCAUUUGAAACUGUGUGUCUGGAGUGUCGGAGAGGCAGGCGGAAUUACUGGUGUAGGGGUAAAAUGCGGAGAUAUUAAGAGGAACACCAGUGGCGAAGGCGACCUGCUGGACCAUGACUGACGAUGAGGCACGAAAGCGUGGGGAGCAAACAGGAUUAGAUACCCCUGUAGUC